CACAGGUUGUGAACUCGAAGAGUAGGGCGGGACACGUGGUAUCCUGUCUGAAUAUGGGGGGACCAUCCUCCAAGGCUAAAUACUCCUGACUGACCGAUAGUGAACCAGUACCGUGAGGGAAAGGCGAAAAGAACCCCGGCGAGGGGAGUGAAAAAGAACCUGAAACCGUGUACGUACAAGCAGUAGGAGCCCACUAGUUGGGUGACUGCGUACCUUUUGUAUAAUGGGUCAGCGACUUAUAUUCUGUAGCAAGGUUAACCGUAUAGGGGAGCCGCAGGGAAACCGAGUCUUAACUGGGCGUUAAGUUGCAGGGUAUAGACCCGAAACCCGGUGAUCUAGCCAUGGGCAGGUUGAAGGUUGGGUAACACUAACUGGAGGACCGAACCGACUAAUGUUGAAAAAUUAGCGGAUGACUUGUGGCUGGGGGUGAAAGGCCAAUCAAACCGGGAGAUAGCUGGUUCUCCCCGAAAGCUAUUUAGGUAGCGCCUCGUGAACUCAUCUUCGGGGGUAGAGCACUGUUUCGGCUAGGGGGUCAUCCCGACUUACCAACCCGAUGCAAACUACGAAUACCGAAGAAUGUUAUCACGGGAGACACACGGCGGGUGCUAACGUCCGUCGUGAAGAGGGAAACAACCCAGACCGCCAGCUAAGGUCCCAAAGUCAUGGUUAAGUGGGAAACGAUGUGGGAAGGCCCAGACAGCCAGGAUGUUGGCUUAGAAGCAGCCAUCAUUUAAAGAAAGCGUAAUAGCUCACUGGUCGAGUCGGCCUGCGCGGAAGAUGUAACGGGGCUAAACCAUGCACCGAAGCUGCGGCAGCGACACUAUGUGUUGUUGGGUAGGGGAGCGUUCUGUAAGCCGUUGAAGGUGGCCUGUGAGGGUUGCUGGAGGUAUCAGAAGUGCGAAUGCUGACAUAAGUAACGAUAAUGCGGGUGAAAAACCCGCACGCCGGAAGACCAAGGGUUCCUGUCCAACGUUAAUCGGGGCAGGGUGAGUCGACCCCUAAGGCGAGGCCGAAAGGCGUAGUCGAUGGGAAACAGGUUAAUAUUCCUGUACUCGGUGUUACUGCGAAGGGGGGACGGAGAAGGCUAUGUUGGCCGGGCGACGGUUGUCCCGGUUUAAGCAUGUAGGCGGAUGUUCCAGGUAAAUCCGGAACGUUACUAACGCUGAGGUGUGAUGACGAGGCACUACGGUGCUGAAGUGACAAAUGCCCUGCUUCCAGGAAAAGCCUCUAAGCAUCAGGUAACAUCAAAUCGUACCCCAAACCGACACAGGUGGUCAGGUAGAGAAUACCAAGGCGCUUGAGAGAACUCGGGUGAAGGAACUAGGCAAAAUGGUGCCGUAACUUCGGGAGAAGGCACGCUGAUGGUAGGUGAAGUGACUUGCUCAUGGAGCUGAAAUCAGUCGAAGAUACCAGCUGGCUGCAACUGUUUAUUAAAAACACAGCACUGUGCAAACACGAAAGUGGACGUAUACGGUGUGACGCCUGCCCGGUGCCGGAAGGUUAAUUGAUGGGGUUAUCCGUAAGGAGAAGCUCUUGAUCGAAGCCCCGGUAAACGGCGGCCGUAACUAUAACGGUCCUAAGGUAGCGAAAUUCCUUGUCGGGUAAGUUCCGACCUGCACGAAUGGCGUAAUGAUGGCCAGGCUGUCUCCACCCGAGACUCAGUGAAAUUGAACUCGCUGUGAAGAUGCAGUGUACCCGCGGCAAGACGGAAAGACCCCGUGAACCUUUACUAUAGCUUGACACUGAACACUGGUCCUUGAUGUGUAGGAUAGGUGGGAGGCUUUGAAGUGUGGACGCCAGUCUGCAUGGAGCCAUCCUUGAAAUACCACCCUUUAAUGGCUGGUGUUCUAACGUGGGCCCGUAAUCCGGGUUGCGGACAGUGUCUGGUGGGUAGUUUGACUGGGGCGGUCUCCUCCUAAAGAGUAACGGAGGAGCACGAAGGUCAGCUAAUCCUGGUCGGACAUCAGGAGGUUAGUGCAAUGGCAUAAGCUGGCUUGACUGCGAGCGUGACGGCGCGAGCAGGUGCGAAAGCAGGUCAUAGUGAUCCGGUGGUUCUGAAUGGAAGGGCCAUCGCUCAACGGAUAAAAGGUACUCCGGGGAUAACAGGCUGAUACCGCCCAAGAGUUCAUAUCGACGGCGGUGUUUGGCACCUCGAUGUCGGCUCAUCACAUCCUGGGGCUGAAGUAGGUCCCAAGGGUAUGGCUGUUCGCCAUUUAAAGUGGUACGCGAGCUGGGUUUAGAACGUCGUGAGACAGUUCGGUCCCUAUCUGCCGUGGGCGCUGGAGAAUUGAGGGGGGCUGCUCCUAGUACGAGAGGACCGGAGUGGACGCAUCACUGGUGUUCGGGUUGUCAUGCCAAUGGCAUUGCCCGGUAGCUAAAUGCGGAAGAGAUAAGUGCUGAAAGCAUCUAAGCACGAAACUUGCCCCGAGAUGAGUUCUCCCUGACUCCUUGAGAGUCCUGAAGGAACGUUGAAGACGACGACGUUGAUAGGCCGGGUGUGUAAGCGCAGCGAUGCGUUGAGCUAACCGGUACUAAUGAACCGUGAGGCUUAACCUUACAACGCCGAAG
This 2568-nucleotide ribosomal RNA is filed under the name Klebsiella michiganensis. RNAcentral's name for it is "partial 23S ribosomal RNA". It matches the Rfam family "Bacterial large subunit ribosomal RNA", at positions 391 to 2925 of the family's 2925-position model. The record is from RNAcentral. Lineage: Bacteria; Pseudomonadati; Pseudomonadota; Gammaproteobacteria; Enterobacterales; Enterobacteriaceae.